AGCAGCCGCGGUAAUUCCAGCUCCAAUAGCGUAUAUUAAAGUUGCUGCAGUUAAAAGCUCGUAGUUGAAUUUCGGGACUAAUAUGUCGGUCGUGCCUCGGUACGUACUGGCUUAUUGGUUUCUCCUUUCUGAAGAACCAUGAUGUCAUUUAUUUGGUGUCGUGGGGAAUCAGGACUGUUACUUUGAAAAAUUAGAGUGUUUAAAGCAGGCUCACGCUUGAAUACAUUAGCAUGGAAUAAUGAAAUAGGACGUUUGAUUCUAUUUUGUUGGUUUCUAGGAUCGACGUAAUGAUUAAUAGGGAUAGUUGGGGGCAUUAGUAUUCAAUUGUCAGAGGUGAAAUUCUUGGAUUUAUUGAAGACUAACUACUGCGAAAGCAUUUGCCAAGGAUGUUUUCAUUAAUCAAGAACGAAAGUUAGGGAUCGAAGACGAUCAGAUACCGUCGUAGUCUUAACCAUAAACUAUGCCGACUAGGGAUCGGAUGAUGUUAAUUUUUAAUGACCCAUUCGGCGCCUUACGGGAA
Molecule: unclassified non-coding RNA, 520 nt
Filed under: uncultured Glomus
Lineage: Eukaryota; Fungi; Glomeromycota; Glomeromycetes; Glomerales; Glomeraceae
Description: SSU rRNA
Rfam family: Eukaryotic small subunit ribosomal RNA
Source: RNAcentral